RNAcentral lists this ribosomal RNA (253 nucleotides) under uncultured bacterium. Its description in RNAcentral is "partial 16S ribosomal RNA". It matches the Rfam family "Bacterial small subunit ribosomal RNA", at positions 524 to 776 of the family's 1533-position model. The record is from RNAcentral.
UACGGAGGGUGCGAGCGUUGUCCGGAAUCAUUGGGCGUAAAGGGCGCGUAGGCGGCCCGCUAAGUCGAACGUGAAAUCCCCGAGCUCAACUCGGGAACUGCGUCCGAUACUGGUGGGCUUGAAUCCGGGAGAGGGAUGCGGAAUUCCAGGUGUAGCGGUGAAAUGCGUAGAUAUCUGGAGGAACACCGGUGGCGAAGGCGGCAUCCUGGACCGGCAUUGACGCUGAGGCGCGAAAGCUAGGGGAGCAAACGGG